Molecule: ribosomal RNA, 709 nt
Filed under: Stenotrophomonas maltophilia
Lineage: Bacteria; Pseudomonadati; Pseudomonadota; Gammaproteobacteria; Lysobacterales; Lysobacteraceae
Description: partial 16S rRNA
Source: RNAcentral
GUCCAGGUAGCUGCCUUCGCCAUGGAUGUUCCUCCUGAUCUCUACGCAUUUCACUGCUACACCAGGAAUUCCGCUACCCUCUACCACACUCUAGUCGCCCAGUAUCCACUGCAGUUCCCAGGUUGAGCCCAGGGCUUUCACAACGGACUUAAACGACCACCUACGCACGCUUUACGCCCAGUAAUUCCGAGUAACGCUUGCACCCUUCGUAUUACCGCGGCUGCUGGCACGAAGUUAGCCGGUGCUUAUUCUUUGGGUACCGUCAUCCCAACCGGGUAUUAGCCAGCUGGAUUUCUUUCCCAACAAAAGGGCUUUACAACCCGAAGGCCUUCUUCACCCACGCGGUAUGGCUGGAUCAGGCUUGCGCCCAUUGUCCAAUAUUCCCCACUGCUGCCUCCCGUAGGAGUCUGGACCGUGUCUCAGUUCCAGUGUGGCUGAUCAUCCUCUCAGACCAGCUACGGAUCGUCGCCUUGGUGGGCCUUUACCCCGCCAACUAGCUAAUCCGACAUCGGCUCAUUCAAUCGCGCAAGGUCCGAAGAUCCCCUGCUUUCACCCGUAGGUCGUAUGCGGUAUUAGCGUAAGUUUCCCUACGUUAUCCCCCACGACAGAGUAGAUUCCGAUGUAUUCCUCACCCGUCCGCCACUCGCCACCCAGAGAGCAAGCUCUCCUGUGCUGCCGUUCGACUUGCAUGUGUUAGGCCUACCGCCAG